Molecule: long non-coding RNA, 784 nt
Filed under: Canis lupus familiaris (dog)
Lineage: Eukaryota; Metazoa; Chordata; Mammalia; Carnivora; Canidae
Description: lncRNA (ENSCAFG00000050524.1)
Source: RNAcentral
CGGCCACCCACUCCAGGCUGCGCCCAGCCCCCUCCCCAUCGCUCACCGGCGCCCUUGCCCAGCAAGGACGGCACUGCCCUCCCCGAAGUGGCCCAGGCUCUGGUGUCAUCUGUAAAUCGGGGUCACAGCCUUCUCCUCGCUGGCUGGAGGGAUGCCACGAAUGCCCUGCCCCGCACGUCACUGGGCGAGAGCCUCAGGCUGGGACGACCAGCUCCCCCCGCCCCGCGGCUUCCAGAACCGUGGGCCCUGGUAUCUGUGGAGAAGCCUGGGAAGAGGCUUCAGUCCAGGAGCAUUAAUGGAGCUCCAGCUGCAUACGGGAACCUCCCCAGCCAGCCCUCAGGCCGCAGACGGACUGGAAGGGCUCCCCGCUGCCGUGCUGUGAUCACCUAUCCUGCCUGCCCUCUCCUGUGGCCUUAGACCAGGCCCCUAGGCGUGUCAGGUGGGGAUGACUGUCAGGGCCGCCCCAUGGGAUGUAAGGACUCACAAGGUCACACACGCCAAGCUGAGCUGGGCCUGCUGUCGCAACAGGAGCACCGUGCCCCAUUCAAACAAGCAGAAUGGCAUCAGCCCACCCGACCCAGCGGCCGCCCCAGAGCACAGACACCAGCUCCCCCGCCGCUUCCCUGGGAUGCUGGGCUCUCUGCCCCGGGUGUGAGAUUAAUUAGUCCUCGCCAGGCGAUAUCUGACCUACAUCGGCGCCUCUGUAAGACGCAGAGCCAGAAGAAAGCAGCACCCGGCUAUAUAAAGACAAGCAAUCUAUUUUAAAAGAGGUCUGUGUGCGGAG